RNAcentral lists this microRNA precursor (67 nucleotides) under Bombyx mori (domestic silkworm). Its description in RNAcentral is "mir-2774 microRNA precursor family". It matches the Rfam family "mir-2774 microRNA precursor family". Lineage: Eukaryota; Metazoa; Arthropoda; Insecta; Lepidoptera; Bombycidae. The record is from Rfam by way of RNAcentral.
ACAACAUUCGGACCUUGGAUCAACCGAGCAUUUGCACCCGCUUGAUGGAAUAUCUUCCCUUUGUCGU